AUUGAACGCUGGCGGAAUGCUUUACACAUGCAGGUCGAACGGCAGCACGGACUUCGGUCUGGUGGCGAGUGGCGAACGGGUGAGUAAUAUAUCGGAACGUGCCCAGUCGUGGGGGAUAACGUAGUGAAAAUUACGCUAAUACCGCAUACGAUCUAUGGAUGAAAGCGGGGGAUCGCAAGACCUCUCGCGACUGGAGCGGCGGAUAUCAGAUUAGGUAGUUGGUGAGGUAAAGGCUCACCAAGCCGACGAUCUGUAGCUGGUCUGAGAGGACGACCAGCCACACUGGAACUGAGACACGGUCCAGACUCCUACGGGAGGCAGCAGUGGGGAAUUUUGGACAAUGGACGCAAGUCUGAUCCAGCCAUUCCGCGUGCAGGACGAAGGCCUUCGGGUUGUAAACUGCUUUUGUACAGAACGAAAAGGUCUCUAUUAAUACUAGGGGCUCAUGACGGUACUGUAAGAAUAAGCACCGGCUAACUACGUGCCAGCCGCCGCUGUAA
RNAcentral lists this ribosomal RNA (500 nucleotides) under uncultured bacterium. RNAcentral describes it as "partial 16S ribosomal RNA". It matches the Rfam family "Bacterial small subunit ribosomal RNA", at positions 30 to 523 of the family's 1533-position model. The record is from RNAcentral.